Molecule: transfer RNA, 72 nt
Filed under: Bacteroidota bacterium
Lineage: Bacteria; Pseudomonadati; Bacteroidota
Also listed under: 1 other name
Description: Bacteroidetes bacterium tRNA-Glu
Rfam family: tRNA
About the family: Transfer RNA (tRNA) molecules are approximately 80 nucleotides in length. Their secondary structure includes four short double-helical elements and three loops (D, anti-codon, and T loops). Further hydrogen bonds mediate the characteristic L-shaped molecular structure. tRNAs have two regions of fundamental functional importance: the anti-codon, which is responsible for specific mRNA codon recognition, and the 3' end, to which the tRNAs corresponding amino acid is attached (by aminoacyl-tRNA synthetases). tRNAs cope with the degeneracy of the genetic code in two manners: having more than one tRNA (with a specific anti-codon) for a particular amino acid; and 'wobble' base-pairing, i.e. permitting non-standard base-pairing at the 3rd anti-codon position.
Source: RNAcentral
GGCGAGUUCGUCUAGGGGUUAGGACGUCUCUCUUUCACGGAGAAAACACGGGUUCGAUUCCCGUACUCGCUA